Molecule: signal recognition particle RNA, 148 nt
Filed under: Pan paniscus (pygmy chimpanzee)
Lineage: Eukaryota; Metazoa; Chordata; Mammalia; Primates; Hominidae
Also listed under: 1 other name
Description: Metazoan signal recognition particle RNA
Rfam family: Metazoan signal recognition particle RNA
About the family: The signal recognition particle (SRP) is a universally conserved ribonucleoprotein.
Source: Rfam by way of RNAcentral
GCCGGGUGUGGUGGCGCAUGCCUGUAAUCCCAGCUACUCAGGAGGCUGAGGCAGGAGAAUUGCUUGAACUCAGGAGGUGGAGGUUGCAGUGAGCCGAGAUAAUGUCACUGUACUCCAGCCUGGGUGACAGAGCAAGACUCUGUCUCAG